GACGUAGGGCGCGAGCGUUGUCCGGAUUUAUUGGGCGUAAAGAGCGUGUAGGCGGCCAUGUAGGUCCGUUGUGAAAACUCGAGGCUCAACCUCGAGACGCCGAUGGAAACCAUGUGGCUAGAGUCCGGAAGAGGAGAGUGGAAUUCCUGGUGUAGCGGUGAAAUGCGCAGAUAUCAGGAAGAACACCCGUGGCUAAGGCGGCUCUCUAGUACGGUACUGACGCUGAGACGCGAAAGCGUGGGGAGCGAACAGG
RNAcentral lists this ribosomal RNA (253 nucleotides) under uncultured bacterium. RNAcentral's name for it is "partial 16S ribosomal RNA". It matches the Rfam family "Bacterial small subunit ribosomal RNA", at positions 524 to 776 of the family's 1533-position model. The record is from RNAcentral.